AGAGACAGCAGCAGCCGCGGGAAUACGGAGGGUGCAAGCGUUAAUCGGAAUUACUGGGCGUAAAGCGCACGCAGGCGGUCUGACAAGUCAGAUGUGAAAUCCCCGGGCUUAACCUGGGAACUGCAUUUGAAACUGUCAGGCUGGAGUCUUGUAGAGGGGGGUGGAAUUCCAGGUGUAGCGGUGAAAUGCGUAGAGAUCUGGAGGAAUACCGGUGGCGAAGGCGGCCCCCUGGACAAAGACUGACGCUCAGGUGCGAAAGCGUGGGGAGCAAACAGGAUUAGAUACCCGUGUAGUCCCUGUCUCUUAUAC
RNAcentral lists this ribosomal RNA (309 nucleotides) under uncultured bacterium. Its description in RNAcentral is "partial 16S ribosomal RNA". It matches the Rfam family "Bacterial small subunit ribosomal RNA", at positions 504 to 807 of the family's 1533-position model. The record is from RNAcentral.